RNAcentral lists this long non-coding RNA (327 nucleotides) under Homo sapiens (human). RNAcentral's name for it is "non-protein coding lnc-RPL15-1:1". Lineage: Eukaryota; Metazoa; Chordata; Mammalia; Primates; Hominidae. The record is from RNAcentral.
CUCCAGCCUGGGUGAAAGAGCUAGACUCUGUUGUUCUCUCCUCAGACCUCAAAGACAGCGGCUCCACCGCGGUACGCGGCCACCGGCUUUGGAGCCUGGACCCCAACUUGCCUCCUCUCGCGGAGAGACAGUCGCCGACGCUCGCUUAGCCGCCGAGACCUCGCCGCCAACUCUCUCACCUCUCGAGACGCCCAGGCCGCUCAGGCUCGAAUCUUGCGGAGCAGGGGGCGGGACAAUAGCGGCCGCGGCGCCCCACUCGGCAGAACUCCGCCACCAGGCGCGAUGCCGGAACUACAUGUCCCAUGACGCUCUGGGAGGCCGCAGCUU